Molecule: long non-coding RNA, 587 nt
Filed under: Cicer arietinum (chickpea)
Lineage: Eukaryota; Viridiplantae; Streptophyta; Magnoliopsida; Fabales; Fabaceae
Description: long non-coding RNA (CARI_LNC001967)
Source: RNAcentral
UUGACUCUAAAAUAUUGUUUUAUGAAUAAAAUAAUACAACUAAAAAAGGUAAAAAAAUCUAGAACGUUAGUUAAGACCAAAAAAUAAAAUUCUAGAACGUUAGGAUAUUGUAUAAGUUUCAAUGAACCUUCAAAGGGAAUUUGGAAAUAUAAAAGAAGAAGAAAAUCAGCAGCAUCGAAAUUUCCUUCAUAAAUAAUUUAAUCUACAAAAAAAAACAAAAAACUCAUUGACCCAAUUAACCUCUCAACAAUUACUCCAAAAGACGAAACUGAUUUCACAAAACCAAAACGCACGUACAGAUAAAUUAAACGCAAUCCAGAAAUCAAGGAUUAUCCUAUCCAAAGUGCAACGAAAAAAAUAAUUAUAUAAUCUUAUAAAAACCAAUAAAGUCAAAAAAGAAAAAGAAAUAAUCGUACCCGUCAAGCAAAAAAAAAGCGGAAGUUGAGAUUGUCGUGUGUUUCUUUCUUCUUACGUUGGAGAUUCUGAGCUUGAAGUGUUUCGUUCACCUUUUAGAGAGAGAGGCUUGUGUUGUGUUUGUGUGAGAGUAGCAAAAACCAAGGAAAUAGCACUUUAGACGCCAAGAGCGG